AGAGGAUAGAAAGAAAUAUAGAGAGAGAGAGAGAGAGAGAGAUCCAAUUAUCAGCCAAAAAGCUACGUCGCAUUUCCUGCUUCGUCAUUAUCUCCCAACAAUCUCCAUUCCUCCUUCCUUCUCUCCCCCCCCCCCCCCCCCAAAAAAAAGAGAGAAACUGUGAAAGUUUCAAUCGACGGAGAGAGAGUAGGGAUGAGAGAGUGAAAUCUCGUGGAGUUUCAUUUUCUCUUAAAGAGAAAUUAAUUUACUUUUCUUUAAAAAUAUAACCAAUCGAUAUUCAUUGCUGGUAAAAAGAAAAAAAUAGAGAAAAAAAGUCGAUAAUUAUUCAUCGCUAAAGCCGUUUCUUAUGUAGAUGAUCGAUCGAGAGCUUGCAUUUGUGAAAUGGAGAUUGCUUCGAAUAGAUGAACUGUUUCGAUUUUGUUGUGAAUCUGAGUGCCAGAUCGACUCGUUGAUGCAUUGAGUUUGCUUUUAUCUUAUUUUCUUGAGGUGGAACCAGUUUGAUUUCUUUGUUUUUUGGGGGGAAAACAAUGAACAACGGCGGUGCCAAAACAGCCCUGGCUCCGGUGGGAGGACGACAGAUGCUGGACUGGAAAUUCUCUCAGGUGUUCGGAGAACGGACGGCCGGAGAGGAAGUACAGGAAGUUGAUAUCAUAUCCUCUAUUGAAUUUGAUAGAACUGGUGACCACCUUGCUACCGGAGAUCGGGGGGGUCGGGUGGUUCUGUUUGAAAGGACUGACACUCGAGAUCAUGUUGGACACCGGAGAGAUCUGGAGAAAAUGGAUUAUCCAAUGAAUAGGCACCCUGAAUUUCGCUAUAAAACAGAGUUUCAGAGCCAUGAACCUGAGUUUGACUAUCUCAAGAGCUUGGAAAUUGAGGAGAAAAUCAACAAAAUAAGGUGGUGCCAGUCCCCUAAUGGUGCUCUAUUUCUUUUGUCUACAAAUGACAAAACAAUCAAGUUCUGGAAGGUACAAGAAAAGAAGGUCAAGAAAUUAUGUGACUUGAACGUGGACUCCACCAAAGUCAUGAGAAAUGGUCCUAUUGUUGGUUCCAGUAUAUCAACAAGCUCCAAACAAUUCAUUGCAAAUGGAGGAUGCCCAAGCAAUGACUUUUCAUUUCCCAUUGGGGCUUUCCCAUCAUUGCAUCUGCCUGUGGUAACCAGUUGUGAGACGAACCUUAUGGCCAGAUGUCGAAGAAUAUAUGCUUAUGCCCAUGACUAUCAUAUUAAUUCCAUAUCCAUUAACAGUGAUGGUGAAACUUUCAUUUCGGCUGACGACCUGCGAAUUAAUCUCUGGAGCCUGGAAAUUAGUAACCAAAGUUUUAACAUUGUUGAUGUGAAACCUGCAAACAUGGAGGAUUUGACAGAGGUGAUAACUUCAGCAGAAUUUCAUCCUGUGCACUGUAAUAUGUUAGCAUAUAGUAGUUCAAAGGGUUCAAUUCGUCUUAUUGAUAUGCGACAGUCUGCGCUGUGUGAUACUCACAGCAAAUUGUUUGAGGAACAAGAAGCUCCUGGCUCCAGGUCUUUUUUCACAGAGAUCAUAGCAUCAAUCUCAGACAUUAAGUUUGCCAAGGAUGGGAGACAUAUGUUAAGUCGUGACUACAUGACCCUUAAGUUGUGGGACAUAAAUAUGGAUUCUGGUCCAGUUGCCACUUUUCAGGUCCAUGAACAUCUUAGACCUAAGCUGUGUGAUCUGUAUGAAAAUGAUUCUAUCUUUGACAAGUUUGAGUGUUGUCUGAGUGGAGAUGGACUUCGAGUGGCAACUGGUUCCUACAGCAAUCUGUUUCGGGUAUUUGGCUGUUCUGAAGGUAGUACAGAAGCUACGACACUGGAAGCAAGCAAAAACCCCAUGAGGAGACAAGGUCAGACGUCAUCAAGGCCUUCAAGAUCCCUUGGUAAUCUCUCUGGUAUUGUGAGACGAGUGAAAGGAGCAGAUAACUCCGGAGUUAAUUCAAACGGAACUACUUUUGAUUUCACAACAAAGUUGCUACACCUAGCAUGGCAUCCAUCUGAAAACUCUCUCGCUUGUGCUGCAUCAAACAGUCUUUACAUGUAUUAUGCAUGAAGAUGAUCCAACAAAGCUCGUGAUUAUUUUGCUGGGCAGAGCUUUUCCUGUUUGCUUUGCCUUCUUCCCUAAUUAAUGAUGCAUAAGCUACAGCCAUUUAUCAUACUCUUGGUGACUCAUUGAAAUUUUCUAUCAUGUCUUCCAACACCAACUUCUAACACCAGAGUUCAAUGUUGCUGUAGCUGAUUUGUGGAUGAAGUAGAUUGACUUUUGCUUCGGGGCAGAUCAUGCCCACUGAUUUAAUAUUCUUUGUAGGGAUAUACACAGUGCUAUCUCUACUCUUUUUUGUUUAGUUCGAAGAAAAUAUGAUGAUUAGCACUCCAACCAAUGAAACAAAAGCUUCUCUAAUUAGGCUGCAAUGCUGCUGGGUUUGAGACUAAUGGGAUCCUUACCAAAUCCAAGGAAAAAGGAGCUAAUACCGGUGCAUCAAUUCUCAUUGAUAUAGUCUGAGUCUGUGCCAUUGUGCUUAAAUCUUAAUUGCUGGUUUGUGUUGGGUUUUGGGAUGAAGUAGAAGCCCUCGUUUAAAUCAAUUUUCUGACCUCCAUUUAAAUUCUGGGACUCAAUUUUUUCAGAGUAACUUGCGUCAUAACAUUUUUUCAAUAAAGAUGUUUUUGUUUGGCAACAGAAGUAUCAUCAUUUGGGGUUCGUUUCUUUUAUUUAUGAUUUUCGUUUCUCCUACCGAUUUUUUAUAGCUUUAAUCCAAUAGAAUUAAUUAGUGCAGUCAAAUUUGAUGGGCACGAUUCAAGUGAACUCUAUGGUGCUCAUCGUAAUAGUUUGCGCUAGAGGUGUUUAUGAAUCCGGUUUAGACAAUAUCUCUCAAAUUUUGUCUAGAUUUACUCGUAUUAGUAAAU
This is an RNA transcript of Durio zibethinus, 2911 nucleotides long. It is a transcript of the gene named serine/threonine protein phosphatase 2A 55 kDa regulatory subunit B beta isoform-like, with no coding region annotated. NCBI's taxonomy places the organism in Eukaryota, Viridiplantae, Streptophyta, Magnoliopsida, Malvales, Malvaceae. The record is from RefSeq and is a predicted model, not a curated record.